UAGCUAGUUGGUGAGGUAAAGGCUUACCAAGGCGACGAUCUGUAGCGGGUCUGAGAGGAUGAUCCGCCACACUGGAACUGAGACACGGUCCAGACUCCUACGGGAGGCAGCAGUGGGGAAUUUUGGACAAUGGGGGCAACCCUGACCCAGCCAUGCCGCGUGAGUGAAGAAGGCCUUCGGGUUGUAAAGCUCUUUCGGCCGGGAAGAAAUCGCAUGGGCCAAUACCCUGUGUGGAUGACGGUACCGGAAUAAGAAGCACCGGCUAACUACGUGCCAGCAGCCGCGGUAAUACGUAGGGUGCGAGCGUUAAUCGGAAUUACUGGGCGUAAAGCGUGCGCAGGCGGUUUUGUAAGACAGGCGUGAAAUCCCCGGGCUUAACCUGGGAACUGCGUUUGUGACUGCAAGGCUAGAGUACGGCAGAGGGGGGUGGAAUUCCACGUGUAGCAGUGAAAUGCGUAGAGAUGUGGAGGAACACCAAUGGCGAAGGCAGCCCCCUGGGUCGAUACUGACGCUCAUGCACGAAAGCGUGGGUAGCAAACAGGAUUAGAUACCCUGGUAGUCCACGCCCUAAACUAUGUCAACUAGGUGUUGGGUGGGUAAAACCAUUUAGUACCGUAGCUAACGCGUGAAGUUGACCGCCUGGGGAGUACGGCCGCAAGGUUAAAACUCAAAGGAAUUGACGGGGACCCGCACAAGCGGUGGAUGAUGUGGAUUAAUUCGAUGCAACGCGAAAAACCUUACCUACCCUUGACAUGCCAGGAACUUGCCAGAGAUGGCUUGGUGCCCGAAAGGGAGCCUGGACACAGGUGCUGCAUGGCUGUCGUCAGCUCGUGUCGUGAGAUGUUGGGUUAAGUCCCGCAACGAGCGCAACCCUUGUCGUUAAUUGCCAUCAUUUGGUUGGGCACUUUAACGAGACUGCCGGUGACAAACCGGAGGAAGGUGGGGAUGACGUCAAGUCCUCAUGGCCCUUAUGGGUAGGGCUUCACACGUCAUACAAUGGUCGGUACAAAGGGUUGCCAAGCCGCGAGGCGGAGCCAAUCCCAGAAAGCCGAUCGUAGUCCGGAUUGCAGGCUGCAACCCGCCUGCAUGAAGUCGGAAUCGCUAGUAAUCGUGGAUCAGCAUGUCACGGUGAAUACGUUCCCGGGUCUUGUACACACCGCCCGUCACACCAUGGGAGCGGGUUCCGCCAGAAGUAGGUAGCCUAACCGCAAGGGGGGCGCUUACCACGGCGGGGUUCGUGACUGGGGUGAAGUCGUAACAAGGUAGCCGUAGGGGAACCUGCGGCUG
This 1287-nucleotide ribosomal RNA is filed under the name metagenome. RNAcentral's name for it is "bacterial SSU rRNA". It matches the Rfam family "Bacterial small subunit ribosomal RNA", at positions 242 to 1520 of the family's 1533-position model. The record is from RNAcentral.